RNAcentral lists this ribosomal RNA (429 nucleotides) under Bacteroidota bacterium. Its description in RNAcentral is "Bacteroidetes bacterium partial 16S ribosomal RNA". It matches the Rfam family "Bacterial small subunit ribosomal RNA", at positions 355 to 776 of the family's 1533-position model. The record is from RNAcentral. Lineage: Bacteria; Pseudomonadati; Bacteroidota.
UAGGGAAUCUUCGGCAAUGGGGGGAACCCUGACCGAGCAACGCCGCGUGAGUGAAGAAGGUUUUCGGAUCGUAAAGCUCUGUUGUUAAGGAAGAACGAGUGUGAGAAUGGAAAGUUCAUGCUGUGACGGUACUUAACCAGAAAGGUACGGCUAACUACGUGCCAGCAGCCGCGGUAAUACGUAGGUCCCGAGCGUUGUCCGGAUUUAUUGGGCGUAAAGCGAGCGCAGGCGGUUAGAUAAGUCUGAAGUUAAAGGCAGUGGCUCAACCAUUGUAGGCUUUGGAAACUGUUUAACUUGAGUGCAGAAGGGGAGAGUGGAAUUCCAUGUGUAGCGGUGAAAUGCGUAGAUAUAUGGAGGAACACCGGUGGCGAAAGCGGCUCUCUGGUCUGUAACUGACGCUGAGGCUCGAAAGCGUGGGGAGCGAACAGG